GACGAACGCUGGCGGCGUGCUUAACACAUGCAAGUCGAACGGAAAGGCCCUGCUUUUGUGGGGUGCUCGAGUGGCGAACGGGUGAGUAACACGUGAGUAACCUGCCCUUGACUUUGGGAUAACUUCAGGAAACUGGGGCUAAUACCGGAUAGGAGCUCCUGCAGCAUGGUGGGGGUUGGAAAGUUUCGGCGGUUGGGGAUGGAAUCGCGGCUUAUCAGCUUGUUGGUGGGGUAGUGGCUUACCAAGGCUUUGACGGGUAGCCGGCCUGAGAGGGUGACCGGCCACAUUGCGACUGAGAUACGGCCCAGACUCCUACGGUACGCAGCAGUGGGGAAUAUUGCACAAUGGGCGGAAGCCUGAUGCAGCAACGCCGCGUGCGGGAUGACGGCCUUCGGGUUGUAAACCGCUUUCGCCUGUGCCGAAGCGUGAGUGACGGUAAUGGGUAAAGAAGCACCGGCUAACUACGUG
RNAcentral lists this ribosomal RNA (468 nucleotides) under uncultured bacterium. Its description in RNAcentral is "partial 16S ribosomal RNA". It matches the Rfam family "Bacterial small subunit ribosomal RNA", at positions 28 to 507 of the family's 1533-position model. The record is from RNAcentral.